ACUACGGGCGGCAGCAGUGAGGAAUAUUGGUCAAUGGGCGCGAGCCUGAACCAGCCAAGUAGCGUGAAGGAUGACUGCCCUAUGGGUUGUAAACUUCUUUUAUAAAGGAAUAAAGUGAGGCACGUGUGCCUUUUUGUGUGUACUUUAUGAAUAAGGAUCGGCUAACUCCGUGCCAGCAGCCGCGGUAAUACGGAGGAUCCGAGCGUUAUCCGGAUUUAAUGGGUUUAAAGGGAGCGUAGGUGGGUUGUUAAGUCAGUUGUGAAAGUUUGCGGCUCAACCGUCAAAGUGCAAUUGAUACUGGUAGUCUUGAGUACAGUUGAGGUAUGCGGAAUGCGUGGUGUAGCGGUGAAAUGCUUAGAUAUCACGAAGAACUCCGAUUGCGAAGGCAGCUUACUAAACUGCCACUGACGUUGAUGCUCGAAAGUGUGGGUAUCAAACAGGAUUAGAUACCCUUGUAGUC
Molecule: ribosomal RNA, 460 nt
Filed under: uncultured bacterium
Lineage: Bacteria
Description: partial 16S ribosomal RNA
Rfam family: Bacterial small subunit ribosomal RNA
Source: RNAcentral